GAUUAGAUACCGUCGUAGUCUUAACUAUAAACUAUGCCGACCAGGGAUAUGAGUUGUUAUGAAUGAUUUUUAAUCAUUCAAUUUCCUCUUGUGGACCUUGUGAGAAAUCAUAAGUUUUUGGGUUCUGGGGGGAGUAUGGUCGCAAGGCUGAAACUUAAAGGAAUUGACGGAGGGGCACCACCAGGAGUGGAGCGUGCGGCUUAAUUUGACUCAACACGGGAAAACUUACCAGGUCCAGACAUUAGAAGGAUUGACAGAUUGAUAGCUCUUUCAUGAUUUAAUGGGUGGUGGUGCAUGGCCGUUCUUAGUUGGUGGAGUGAUUUGUCUGGUUAAUUCCGAUAACGAACGAGACCUUUACCAUACUAAAUAGUUUGAUUUAUUCAUUUAUGAAUAGAUUUAUUUUAUUAAACUUCUUAGAGGGACUAUUGGUUCUUAAACCAAAGGAAGUAAAGGCGAUAACAGGUCUGUGAUGCCCUUAGAUGUUCUGGGCUGCACGCGCGCUACAAUGAUAAACUCAACGAGUAUUUAAUAUUUAUUUAUUAUAUUGCUGUAUUGGAAAGUAUGGCUAAUCUUAAACGUUUAUCGUGCUUGGGAUAGAUGAUUGCAAUUAUUUAUCUUGAACCAGGAAUUCCUAGUAAUCGUAUAUCAUCAGUGUGCGAUGAUUACGUCCCUGCCCCUUGUACACACCGCCCGUCGCUGCUACCGAUUGGAUGAUCCGGUGAAAUCCUCGGAUAAUGAUAAAUACUUUACUUUUUUGUAAAGUUUAUCGUUAGAAGUUGAUUAAACCUUAUCAUCUAGAGGAAGCAAAAGUCGUAACAAGGUUUCCGUAGGUGAACCUGCAGAAGGAUCA
This 850-nucleotide ribosomal RNA is filed under the name Vannella calycinucleolus. Its description in RNAcentral is "bacterial SSU rRNA". It matches the Rfam family "Eukaryotic small subunit ribosomal RNA", at positions 1006 to 1828 of the family's 1831-position model. Lineage: Eukaryota; Discosea; Flabellinia; Vannellidae. The record is from RNAcentral.